GGUCAGGACGAACGCUGGCGGCGUGCCUAAUACAUGCAAGUCGAACGGUCUUUUCUAUGGAAGCUUGCUUCCACUGAGAAGAUAGUGGCGAACGGGUGAGUAACACGUGGGUAACCUGCCCAUAAGAGGGGGAUAACAUCCGGAAACGGGUGCUAAUACCGCAUAGUUUUUCUUGAUCGCAUGAUCGGGAAAGGAAAGACGGCCUUUGUGCUGUCGCUUAUGGAUGGACCCGCGGCGUAUUAGUUAGUUGGUGAGGUAAUGGCUCACCAAGACGAUGAUACGUAGCCGACCUGAGAGGGUGAUCGGCCACAUUGGGACUGAGACACGGCCCAAACUCCUACGGGAGGCAGCAGUAGGGAAUCUUCCGCAAUGGACGAAAGUCUGACGGAGCAACGCCGCGUGAGUGAAAGAAGGUUUUCGGAUCGUAAAACUCUGUUGUCAGAGAAGAACAAGUUGGAGAGUAACUGCUCCAGCCUUGACGGUAUCUGACCAGAAAGCCACGGCUAACUACGUGCCAGCCGCGGC
This 525-nucleotide ribosomal RNA is filed under the name uncultured bacterium. Its description in RNAcentral is "bacterial SSU rRNA". It matches the Rfam family "Bacterial small subunit ribosomal RNA", at positions 22 to 518 of the family's 1533-position model. The record is from RNAcentral.